RNAcentral lists this ribosomal RNA (357 nucleotides) under uncultured bacterium. Its description in RNAcentral is "partial 16S ribosomal RNA". It matches the Rfam family "Bacterial small subunit ribosomal RNA", at positions 338 to 693 of the family's 1533-position model. The record is from RNAcentral.
CCUACGGGAGGCAGCAGUGAGGAAUAUUGGUCACUGGGCGGAAGCCUGAACCAGCCAAGUAGCGUGCGGGAUGAAGGCCCUACGGGUCGUAAACCGCUUUUGCACGGGGAUAACACACUCCACUUGUUGAGGUCUGCAGGUACCGUGCGAAUAAGGGCCGGCUAAUUCAGUGCCAGCAGCCGCGUUAAUACGGAAGGCCCGAGCGUUAUCCGGAUUCAUUGGGCUUAAAGGGAGCGUAGGCGGGCGUUUAAGUCAGCUGUAAAAUAGCGCGGCACAACCGCGCCCCGCAGUGGAAACUGGACGCCUUGAGGUCACAACAGGCAGGCGGAAUUAGUGGUGUAGCGGUGAAAUGCAUAG